UCUUGGUCAUUUAGAGGAAGUAAAAGUCGUAACAAGGUUUCCGUAGGUGAACCUGCGGAAGGAUCAUUACCUUUCUGCCCUUCGGGGCACAGUUGGAGGCUUCGGCCUCCCUCUGCAUCCUUGUCUUUUGCGUACUACAUGUUUCCUCGGCGGGCUUGCCCGCCGGUUGGACAACUUCAAACUCUUUGUAAUUGCAAUCAGCGUCUGAAAAAUAUAAUAUUUACAACUUUCAACAACGGAUCUCUUGGUUCUGGCAUCGAUGAAGAACGCAGCGAAAUGCGAUAAGUAGUGUGAAUUGCAGAAUUCAGUGAAUCAUCGAAUCUUUGAACGCACAUUGCGCCCCUUGGUAUUCCAUGGGGCAUGCCUGUUCGAGCGUCAUUUGUACCUUCAAGCUCUGCUUGGUGUUGGGUGUUUGUCUGCAAAGACUCGCCUUAAAGCAAUUGGCAGCCGGCAUAUUGUCUAGGAGCGCAGCACAUUUUGCGCUUGUUUUACAAGAUGUUGGCGUCCACAAGCCUUUUUUCACUUUUGACCUCGGAUCAGGUAGGGAUACCCGCUGAACUUAAGCAUAUCAAUAAGCGGAGGAA
RNAcentral lists this ribosomal RNA (584 nucleotides) under Dothideomycetes sp. 1 TMS-2011. RNAcentral's name for it is "eukaryotic LSU rRNA". The stretch from base 225 to 378 matches the Rfam family "5.8S ribosomal RNA". The record is from RNAcentral. Lineage: Eukaryota; Fungi; Ascomycota; Dothideomycetes.